RNAcentral lists this ribosomal RNA (484 nucleotides) under uncultured bacterium. Its description in RNAcentral is "partial 16S ribosomal RNA". It matches the Rfam family "Bacterial small subunit ribosomal RNA", at positions 30 to 507 of the family's 1533-position model. The record is from RNAcentral.
AUUGAACGCUGGCGGCAGGCCUAACACAUGCAAGUCGAGCGGAUGAAGGGAGCUUGCUCCUGGAUUCAGCGGCGGACGGGUGAGUAAUGCCUAGGAAUCUGCCUGGUAGUGGGGGAUAACGUCCGGAAACGGGCGCUAAUACCGCAUACGUCCUGAGGGAGAAAGUGGGGGAUCUUCGGACCUCACGCUAUCAGAUGAGCCUAGGUCGGAUUAGCUAGUUGGUGGGGUAAAGGCCUACCAAGGCGACGAUCCGUAACUGGUCUGAGAGGAUGAUCAGUCACACUGGAACUGAGACACGGUCCAGACUCCUACAGGAGGCAGCAGUGGGGAAUAUUGGACAAUGGGCGAAAGCCUGAUCCAGCCAUGCCGCGUGUGUGAAGAAGGUCUUCGGAUUGUAAAGCACUUUAAGUUGGGAGGAAGGGCAGUAGGUUAAUACCUUGCUGUUUUGACGUUACCAACAGAAUAAGCACCGGCUAACUUCGUG